UCGACAGUUUUGGCACAUUUCAUUUUCGGAAAAUUUCCCUCUCGCCGAAAAAAUAUUAAAAGAUUUGCCUUCUCAAUCUUCUCUCUUUUAUCGGGCAGCGACAAAUCUAUGGCUUCCUUCGAGACAGGAGCAUAACCUUCAUAAUAUUUUUCUCAGCUGUUUUUGUUAGUUUUUUAUUUUCGUUCGCUCCGCAGUUGUUCGCAUUCGAGAAGGUUUCGGUGUUUAGUAGGUGGGUUUGAGACCGGAGGAGAUCUCGUUUAAGGCUUAAUUCGGUUUUGAGUCCUCAAAUAACAUACGGUAGCCCUAUGGCAAUGCUAGUAGCGUUCCACCGACGUUAUAAAAGAGAUGGUUUUGGCCCCAUUAUUGUUCCCAAGGACAAAUUAUGGGGCGACAAACCCAAAUAUCCUUGCAAAACUUUGAAAUUGGGGGUGAGCGUGAAAGAAUGCCGGAAGCAAUCAUACGCGCAUUCGGUAUUUUUAAAAUGUGUGCUGCCGAGAUUUCUUAUUGAGUGUUUCAGAACUUGUUGACGGUAUGCUUUCUAGUUGGUCUAAUUAUACUUCGUUGGUGGGGAUCUUGGGGGUUGGCAUAAUGGUUUAUCAGACUUGGCAUAAAAUUUUCUUUGCUUUUGUCUAUUUUGUUGAAAUUAGGAGCGCACCUAGAGAACAAGGGAAUACAAUUCAAGUUU
This is a non-coding RNA of Nicotiana tabacum (common tobacco), 685 nucleotides long. The record is from RefSeq and is a predicted model, not a curated record. NCBI's taxonomy places the organism in Eukaryota, Viridiplantae, Streptophyta, Magnoliopsida, Solanales, Solanaceae.